This 442-nucleotide ribosomal RNA is filed under the name uncultured bacterium. RNAcentral's name for it is "bacterial SSU rRNA". It matches the Rfam family "Bacterial small subunit ribosomal RNA", at positions 360 to 793 of the family's 1533-position model. The record is from RNAcentral.
AAUAUUGCACAAUGGGGGAAACCCUGAUGCAGCCAUGCCGCGUGUGUGAAGAAGGCCUUCGGGUUGUAAAGCACUUUCAGUAGGGAGGAAGGUAGUGUAGUUAAUACCUGCAUUAUUUGACGUUACCUACAGAAGAAGCACCGGCUAACUCCGUGCCAGCAGCCGCGGUAAUACGGAGGGUGCGAGCGUUAAUCGGAAUUACUGGGCGUAAAGCGCAUGCAGGCGGCCUGUUAAGUCAGAUGUGAAAGCCCGGGGCUUAACCUCGGAAUUGCAUUUGAAACUGGCAGGCUAGAGUCUUGUAGAGGGGGGUAGGAAUUUCAGGUGUAGCGGUGAAAUGCGUAGAGAUCUGAAGGAAUACCAGUGGCGAAGGCGGCCCCCUGGACAAAGACUGACGCUCAGAUGCGAAAGCGUGGGGAGCAAACAGGAUUAGAUACCCUGGUAG